This is a long non-coding RNA of Callithrix jacchus (white-tufted-ear marmoset), 1477 nucleotides long. RefSeq lists it as uncharacterized. Lineage: Eukaryota; Metazoa; Chordata; Mammalia; Primates; Cebidae. The record is from RefSeq and is a predicted model, not a curated record.
UCUUCUCACUACAAGCAGCCAGAAAAGAGCAGACAGCAAAACACAGAUAAGACAGCUCAGACACAGAGGAAGGCAGGGAGAAAGUCUCUUGGGUAACUGCCAAACUUCACCCUCGUACAAUGUGUCCCUAGUAAAACCGUGGGCCUUCUUAAUAGGCACAUUCCUUUCCCUUAAGGUGCACUAAGAUAAGGAAGCUAAAGGCAGACUCCGGGGAUAUGCCUGCAGCUGCAGAAAGAUACCUGUGAACAGACACACAGCUCUCCCUACCAGCAAUUUGCAUGAGGAGGACAGCUGACCUGAAGGGGACUGCGAGGCUCAGGCUGGGGCUACUCCACGGUGGGCUUUCGAAACUCUCAGGUCUCAGGAAUCCACCUCCAACUGCCCAUAACAGGAGGAAAUCUCUUCACUGCUCGUGCUGACAACGGAAGACUGAGCGUGCCCAGAAUCCUUCGCCUCCACGCCUCCUGAGUCCACGGAACCCAGGGUCUUACGGUGUCAGGACCCACUUCCCUUUGCCUCACCCGAAUCCCGGAGGAAAAAGAGGAAAAAUCCACAAAGCCGCUUAUGUCUCUCUCACUUCCUGACUUUCAUCGCUUCCUAACCCACCUUGCUGCAGACCUUCAGUGGUACCCUCACGAAGCACCCAUUGAACAUCCUGAUCAGCUCCUUGCUCUUCUACGGGAGCUAUGGCUUCAAGGAACUUUCCAGGACUUCACUUCUACCCAAAUCACCUUUUUCUCUUUUUGCUUGUUUCUUUUACUGUAAAUUCCCUGAAUACAUCAACCUCACCAAUACAACCGCUCCUCACUGCUCUCAAGCUCAGAUGCUCUACACACCCUACACAGUCCCUCUUACUGCAGGCUGACUCCUCCCUUGCCUCGGAAUGCUGGAUGUGCUUAUCGCUGACUUCCUUCUUAGCCCUUCCUGCACCCCUUCAUGACCUUUUGACUGGAAAGAUAACCCCAAUUUAUAAACUCCAAAAUGGAGCUUCCCCGUUUAAAAAAGUUGACUCUCUAUUCGGCGAUGAUCCAAUUUCCAGGGCCAAUCAGGCUAACAAAUUAUUCCAAACCUAUUAGAACUUUCUUCAAUACCUUAAGCCCCAAGGCCCCCCCAUUGAAGGUCCUAUCACUAAACACAACUUUCAUUUUCAACAAGCCUCACUCUGCUUUUCAGACUCUAAGGGCAAUCUCCCUGUUGGGUCCUUAUCCCCUCACCAAUGUAACUGCACUAUCAUUGUUAAACACCCCUUUGACCACCAAACUAAUCGAAGUAACUACCAAGUGUCACCUGAAGCAAAGGGGAGCAUUUCUGCAACCUGCUCACUCAUUUUCCAGCCUCUCCCUUAGCCAAUGUCCCCCGCCUAACCUGUGCUGUCCCUAAUGCACACCUUUUCCCAUGGCUCAAUAUUAAUGGCUCAGCAUCCGACUGCAUUACGUGUGUAAAAAGUAACUCUUCCUUUGUUAAAUCAAGCAGAAAA